UGUUUAGUUUUCAGAUUUUGGCGAGGAUUUUAGGGGAAAAAAAAGAAGAAAAUAAAUUUGAAUUGGGAAAAAUAAAGUUAACAUGUAUCAUUGUUUUUAAAAACAGAUAAAAGCUUUAAAAUUCUCGAACUUCGACCAUUAAGAAUCAAUGGUGAAAAGCAUUUGAAUUUAGAUGGGAACUUUCGGAGGAGUAGUAGUAGUAUUUGCUAUAGUAUGCAAACUUGAGAAAGCAGAUAAUGAUUGGGGAAAGAAUAGUUUUGCUGUAAACCAACUUUCACACGUUUCACUGCGGAGGGAUUUGACACAGACAAGCACCUAUUCAUAUAAUUAUAAAGACAUGUUGAUGCCUGGAUUUUGCAUCCUAGCUGUUUGAACGUCAAAUCUAGGUAAUGAACCCUGGAAAAGGAAAAGGUGUUUGUCUUUUGGUCCCCCCAUUUAUGAAGGGUAACUUGAAAUUGGGAAAUCUGGGUUUGUUUGUACACACAUAUUUGGGUUGAACAGAUUGGAACUUUGAAAAAGAGUUGAAACAUCAAGAUUCGAUUGUCUUUGGAAGAAUUUAUAUCUUUUAAUGCGUUAACUUUUAGAACAAGUAAUAUUCUGCAUACGAAACAGUAAAAAUGUAGGGGAACUUCUGGAGGAUGGGAGAUAGAAGGCAGAGACUUUGGCGAUAAGAUCAACACCAACUCAACUCAGGCAGGCCUUUCUUUGAUUCACACAAUGAAUAAGAAGGAUAGAGGGAGAGAGAGGAAAAGCAUAACGUGGCAAUUUGGCGGCCAUGAUUGUGCGGUGGUUAUGAUGUUGAUUGUUGGAAAUCAUAGACCAUUUGGUAACACGAAGCUUUUAAGAGUUGGAAUCUGUUUUAUAUACAACAAUUAUUUAAAAUUAUUUCGUAGCACUGUUAAUUACUGUAUGCUUGUCUAUAUGAGCAUAGUGUAGAUAUUGGUA
Molecule: non-coding RNA, 945 nt
Organism: Cucurbita pepo subsp. pepo (vegetable marrow)
Lineage: Eukaryota; Viridiplantae; Streptophyta; Magnoliopsida; Cucurbitales; Cucurbitaceae
Source: RefSeq, a predicted model, not a curated record